Molecule: ribosomal RNA, 465 nt
Filed under: uncultured Klebsiella sp.
Lineage: Bacteria; Pseudomonadati; Pseudomonadota; Gammaproteobacteria; Enterobacterales; Enterobacteriaceae
Description: bacterial SSU rRNA
Rfam family: Bacterial small subunit ribosomal RNA
Source: RNAcentral
CCUACGGGAGGCAGCAGUGGGGAAUAUUGCACAAUGGGCGCAAGCCUGAUGCAGCCAUGCCGCGUGUGUGAAGAAGGCCUUCGGGUUGUAAAGCACUUUCAGCGGGGAGGAAGGCGUUAAGGUUAAUAACCUUGUCGAUUGACGUUACCCGCAGCAGAAGCACCGGCUAACUCCGUGCCAGCAGCCGCGGUAAUACGGAGGGUGCAAGCGUUAAUCGGAAUUACUGGGCGUAAAGCGCACGCAGGCGGUCUGUCAAGUCGGAUGUGAAAUCCCCGGGCUCAACCUGGGAACUGCAUUCGAAACUGGCAGGCUAGAGUCUUGUAGAGGGGGGUAGAAUUCCAGGUGUAGCGGUGAAAUGCGUAGAGAUCUGGAGGAAUACCGGUGGCGAAGGCGGCCCCCUGGACAAAGACUGACGCUCAGGUGCGAAAGCGUGGGGAGCAAACAGGAUUAGAUACCCUUGUAGUC